RNAcentral lists this ribosomal RNA (253 nucleotides) under uncultured bacterium. RNAcentral's name for it is "partial 16S ribosomal RNA". It matches the Rfam family "Bacterial small subunit ribosomal RNA", at positions 524 to 776 of the family's 1533-position model. The record is from RNAcentral.
UACAGAGGGUGCAAGCGUUAAUCGGAAUGACUGGGCGUAAAGGGCGCGUAGGCGGUUUAUUAAGUUAGAUGUGAAAACCCUGAGCUUAACUUAGGGCGGUCAUUUAAUACUGGUAGACUGGAGAGCAGUAGAGGGUAGUAGAAUUUCCGGUGUAGCGGUGAAAUGCGUAGAUAUCGGAAGGAAUACCGGUGGCGAAGGCGGCUACCUGGACUGCAUCUGACGCUGAGGCGCGAAAGCAUGGGUAGCGAACAGG